This 253-nucleotide ribosomal RNA is filed under the name uncultured bacterium. RNAcentral's name for it is "partial 16S ribosomal RNA". It matches the Rfam family "Bacterial small subunit ribosomal RNA", at positions 524 to 776 of the family's 1533-position model. The record is from RNAcentral.
UACGAAGGGGCCUAGCGUUGUUCGGAAUCACUGGGCGUAAAGCGCACGUAGGCGGAUUUGUAAGUCAGGGGUGAAAUCCCGGGGCUCAACCUCGGAACUGCCUUUGAUACUGCGAGUCUUGAGUCCGAUAGAGGUGGGUGGAAUUCCUAGUGUAGAGGUGAAAUUCGUAGAUAUUAGGAAGAACACCGGUGGCGAAGGCGGCCCACUGGUCCGGUACUGACGCUGAGGUGCGAAAGCGUGGGGAGCAAACAGG